GGUUUCGUUUGGUUAAGUUCGCCGUAUUUUCUGUAGUCAACCCAAGCUAGUUUCAUUGCCGUUUUCUUUUGUUAUAUCUGCCGCCGUAGACUCAUUUUAACUCCUGUAAACUCCUGUAUGUUCCCACUGUGUUGAAGUGAUUUCCCCGGUAACAAUUUUUCACCUGCUCCUCGCUGAGUGCAAAUAAACUACCGGGUCGAUAAAAUACAAUUUGUCCACGACUUUUAUUGUUAUCAUCAACACGGUGACACCAGGAUUUUAGAACAAACUUACCUCAUCGUGAUGAAGUUACAAAAUUAAUGUUUGUAAAAUAUGUAUAUAAACAAGAGCAUUGAAACCCAAAAUCCCACUUUUUUUUGUUUCCACUGUUUUUAAACGACGAUUGACACUUGACCUUUUAAUUGAUUUAAAUUAAUAAUAAAUGGGUAGGGAAAGCUACUGCGUCUAGAGCACUUAAUAUUAUUAAGUACUUUUUUUUUAUUAAUGUUCGGAACAACAUUAAAUAUAAUCUUCUCAGCCGUUUCUCAGCCAUCUGAGAAGAGUCAUUCAUAAUUUGUAUUUGAAUAUAAUUUAGAGACUUUUGAAUUUUACAAGUUGGGCUUGUUCUGAAUAAGCAGAAUACUUUGUUUUGGUAUAAGUUUUGUUUCUGGCCAGUGUAAAUAAAUACAGGGUCGGCCCAAUGUGUAUAGGGGUUGCGAACAACAUUUGUAAGUGGGGUCCAGUGGAAUGGGUGGCAUAAAAAAGCUCUCUUUACCUUUUUAUGAAACUCAGCCAUGGUUCACAUCCCGUAUAGGCUGAUUGAUUUUGGCAUCAGACCUAGUGAGGAUUCUCUAUCUGUGUUUGUCUAUUGUACACGUUUUGAUAUCAACAUGAACUAGAAAAUAAACUUUGAACUUCAGCUAUUAACAUUCACUCUGUAGAUUCAUUCACAAUGACCCACUGUCAUCCGAGUAUUCAGACGCUUGUGAUUAUCAGCUUUUUACUUUUUCAAUAAUAUGAUAAUUAUAUCCAUCAAUACUUCAUCGAUGUAAUUAUUAGACUCGUUGAGAUACGGCGGCCACUUCAGGAGUGCAAUGUUUGGUUCGAGCGUAGACAAACACAUUUACCGAAACCAAAAAGUGUCUCAAUGUGUCCACUAAACAUCAAAUAGACUUAUUGAUGUCUCGGUUUACCUUGUUUACCAUAAGGGAGAGGACAAACGUUGCUAAGCCAUAAAUGUGACAAUGGGAGACUUAUUCAACUGCCAUUGAGAGCACUAUAACAGUUUGAUAUACAUACAAAUUCGGCGAUAAUGUAUUUUGACUCCCUCGGUCGUUCCCCCAAUCCUCCAUUUCUUAGAUAGUUCUUUGCUUUGUAUUUUCCCAUUGCAAAGUUAAUUUGAUGUCUGUACACAAUUAGACCUGGUUUUUUAUUUUGUAAUACGAAUUUAAUUUGUUGAGACAAUAAAGUUCCAGUUAAAAUGUCAACAAGAUUUCUUCUUUUUUGGUCUUUAUUUAUUAGUUUCUUUACAUUAUUCCCUUCUCCCCUUAUGCUUUGUUGUCUGCUCCUCAAAUAAAAACAAAUUAAUAUUUGAAUAACUAUUUCACUCAUUUACGUUUGCU
Long non-coding RNA from Asterias rubens (European starfish), 1601 nucleotides. RefSeq lists it as uncharacterized. Lineage: Eukaryota; Metazoa; Echinodermata; Asteroidea; Forcipulatida; Asteriidae. The record is from RefSeq and is a predicted model, not a curated record. The transcript is spliced from 3 exons.